Molecule: non-coding RNA, 23 nt
Filed under: Arabidopsis thaliana (thale cress)
Lineage: Eukaryota; Viridiplantae; Streptophyta; Magnoliopsida; Brassicales; Brassicaceae
Source: RNAcentral
GAUAUCUCCCGAGGAAGUCAAGC